UAUCUAGAUUACAGGGCUUAU
This 21-nucleotide non-coding RNA is filed under the name Arabidopsis thaliana (thale cress). Lineage: Eukaryota; Viridiplantae; Streptophyta; Magnoliopsida; Brassicales; Brassicaceae. The record is from RNAcentral.